This 211-nucleotide long non-coding RNA is filed under the name Elaeis guineensis (African oil palm). RNAcentral's name for it is "long non-coding RNA (EGUI_LNC082331)". Lineage: Eukaryota; Viridiplantae; Streptophyta; Magnoliopsida; Arecales; Arecaceae. The record is from RNAcentral.
UUAGACCGGAUGGGGGGAGAGGCCUUACAGCAUCCUAAUGUGCCCCCACAGCCAUGUCAGGAACAGGAGGAGGACCUCGUCCUGACAUGAGCAAAGUCAAAGGCCCGGUUCUUUUAGGCCGGAUGGGGGGAGAGGCCCUGCAACGCCCAUAUACGCCCCCCAGGAGGAAAACCUUGCCCUAGCUUAAGCAACUUCAACCGGUGGUAAACCC